This is an RNA transcript of Microplitis mediator, 5296 nucleotides long. It is a transcript of the gene named probable phospholipid-transporting ATPase IA, with no coding region annotated. NCBI's taxonomy places the organism in Eukaryota, Metazoa, Arthropoda, Insecta, Hymenoptera, Braconidae. The record is from RefSeq and is a predicted model, not a curated record. The transcript is spliced from 13 exons.
AAUACAAACUGCGGUCUUGCCUAGCCGGCCUUAUAUCCUUUACUGAAUAAUCAUAUCUAACGACUUUCACAAUUAUUUUUUUACAAAAUCUAGUAAAAAUUUAUCGAAAAUCAUAAGCAAAAUAAUAAAAAUAUAAUUUUUACGUGUAAACUUUUUAUAAACAUUACGUUAUUUAAAAAAAAAUACAUACCAAUAUUUUAAACGAGUGAAGACUUAUUUUUAAAUUAAUGUUAUCUUAUCUGUAAUAUUUUCUAUUACUGUUAUCAACUAUAACGUCAGUGUUUAUUUUUGAGUUGGGAAGAAAUUAUAUCAGUAGAAGAAUAGUAUACGUAUGCUAUUAUGUUAUUUGAUAAAUGUUAAAAAAGCCUUGGAAGGACAAUAAACUGAGAAAAUAAUAUGGUGAAGUUGUGAAUUCUGUUUGAAAUGAGUAUCGUACCAGAAAGCGAGCAACCGUUAUAUAUACUUUAGAAUAGUUUGUUGUUGUUGAUAAAUUGUGUACAUGCCUUACUGAAGUGUCUUCUUGAAGUUGUUUUCAAACUUAUCGCACCUGUUACUUUUAUACAAAUAAAUUUUACACAGAUUUUAUAGUUAAAUUCUUACGGUAUUUUUUAUAUUUAUACAUAAUUAUUAUAAAUUAAAAAUGUUUAAAGUAAUUGAAAAAUUAUUAUUAACUUUUGUUAUUGUGUAAAAAUGAAAAAAUUAUUUAUAAAAAAUCAACAUUCGAAAUUUCGACUAUAAGAUAGAAUAUUAAAUCAAUGUUUAAAAACAAUACUGUUCGACCAGUUCGAAUGACCGUUCUACCGGUGCAUCCGAUGCAGCCAACACUGCGGGGUGAUCCCCGAGUACCAAAUCUAGACCCUUUGCAUCCAUUUACACCGUCGGAUUUAUCAUCAAUACCUCAUAUGGAUGGAAGUCCAACACCAACAUCAAUUCAAACAAACAACCACAGUUCAACAACUGUAGACAAUUCUACUGAUCCUACAUUAGACCCCGGUCCCUACAUCGUCGGGAGUCCAAUUGACCUUGGAAACAUCGAUAAUGUCGAUAACAUUGGUCUUCAAGUUGGCUCUAUUAGACGGGGGAGAGGACGAACGCGUGAACAUAUUGAACUUCAAGAAACUGGUUCACCGGAAUCAGAAGUUUCAGUAGGAGGAAAUAGAACGGAAAAUGGAACUUCAUCAAGCGAAGACCGGCCGGUUGUGGUACAAGAGGAUCAUGAAGAAAGGAUAGUAUUUGUAAAUGCCCCUCAUCAACCAGCAAAGUAUAAAAAUAAUCACAUAACCACAGCGAAAUAUUCGCUACUUUCCUUCAUACCUUCCUUUCUCUUCGAACAAUUUCGACGAUAUAGUAAUUGUUUCUUCCUAUUUAUUGCACUUAUGCAGCAAAUACCUGAUGUUUCCCCUACUGGUCGUUACACCACACUUGUGCCAUUGAUUUUUAUCCUGAGUGUAUCUGCUUUAAAAGAAAUAGUUGAAGAUUUUAAAAGACAUAGAGCAGAUGAUGAAAUAAAUAUGAGAGAAGUGGAAGUACUUAGAGAUGGAAGAUGGCAAUGGAUACAGUGGCGGAAUGUAGCUGUUGGUGAUGUAGUAAAAGUGCACAAUAACAAUUUCUUCCCAGCCGAUUUGAUUCUACUGUCAUCUUCAGAGCCACAAGGGAUGUCAUUUAUCGAGACUGCAAAUUUAGAUGGUGAGACAAAUUUAAAAAUUCGUCAAGCACAUCCAGAAACAGCAAUGCUUAUUGACACGGUAGAAUUGAUGAAUUUUCGUUCAAAUAUUCAAUGUGAACCACCAAAUAGACAUCUAUAUGAAUUUAAUGGUGUACUUCGAGAAACAAACAAACAAAGUGUAUCAUUAGGACCUGAUCAAUUGCUGUUACGUGGUGCUAUAUUACGAAAUACUAAAUGGGUAUUUGGUGCUGUAAUUUAUACUGGACAUGACACUAAAUUGAUGCAAAAUAAUACAGCAACAGCACCAUUAAAACGUUCAACAUUAGAUCGUUUGACAAACACCCAAGUGCUUAUGCUUUUCUUCAUUCUUGUACUAUUGUGCCUUUUUUCUGCUGUAUUUAAUGUUUUCUGGACAGAAAUGAAUGAAGAAGGUCUUUGGUACUUAGAUUUUAACCUUAAACAUGAAGCAAUUGUAAAAAAAUUUGCAUUCAAUCUUCUUACUUUUAUUAUUUUAUUUAACAACUUAAUACCAAUAUCACUUCAAGUAACACUUGAAGUUGUUCGAUAUGUUCAAGCUACUUUCAUAAAUAUGGACAUUGAAAUGUAUCACGCAGAAACUGAUACUCCUGCUAUGGCAAGAACAAGCAAUCUAAAUGAAGAAUUGGGUAUGGUUAACUAUAUAUUUACUGACAAGACAGGAACUCUUACAAAAAAUGUUAUGGAAUUUAAACGUUGUUCAAUAGCUGGUAAAAUUUAUGAUUUACCAAGCUCUACAGAACCUGGUUGUAGUUCAUAUGAUUGUGAUUUAGUUAAAAAUAUUACUGAAUGGCGAAUUAAACCAGAUUCUACUAAUGUAAUUAGUACUAAAAAUGCAAUUACAUCAGCAAUAUUACAUGAAUUUAUGAUAAUGCUGUCAGUUUGUCAUACAGUUAUUCCAGAAAAAAUAAAUGAUGAAAUAAUAUAUCACGCUGCAUCACCGGAUGAACGAGCUCUUGUUGAUGGAGCAAGAAGAUUUGGUUAUGUUUUUGAUACACGAACUCCUUCGUAUGUCGAAAUAGUUGCGUUAGGUGAACGACUACGUUACGAAAUUUUAAAUGUUAUUGAAUUUACCUCUACGCGAAAACGUAUGUCAGUGAUAGUAAAAACUCCUGAAGGUAAAAUAAAAAUAUUUUGUAAAGGUGCUGAUUCGGUUAUUUAUGAAAGACUUGCACCUAAGCCCACUGAAAUAAAUGAUGUUGUUGAGUUGGAAAUGGGCGAUGAUUUUCGUCAAACUACUUUGGAUCAUUUGGAAUCAUUUGCUACUGAAGGUUUGAGAACUCUUUGUUUUGCUUCAGCAGACAUACCAGACAAUCGUUAUGAAUGGUGGAGUGAAAUUUAUCACAAAGCAGAAAUGUCAAUGUCAACUCGUGACAGUAAAUUAGAAGAAGCGGCAAAUCUUAUUGAAACAAAAUUAACAUUGCUUGGAGCAACUGCUAUAGAAGAUCAUUUGCAGGACCAAGUACCAGAAACACUACAAGCACUUAUUCAAGCAGACAUAAACGUCUGGGUAUUAACUGGAGACAAACAAGAGACUGCAAUUAAUAUCGGAUACUCUUGUCGUUUAAUAACUCAAUCAAUGCCAUUAAUUAUCGUCAACGAAAGUUCUUUAGACAAAACGCGAGAUGUUAUUAUUCAACAUUGCGCUGAUUUCGGACAAGAUUUACGUUGUCAAAAUGACGUUGGCCUUGUAAUAGAUGGCAAUAGCUUAAAGUAUGCGUUGUCUUGUGACUUGAGAAGAGAUUUUUUAGAUUUAUGUACCUCAUGCAAAGUCGUAAUAUGUUGCCGGGUAUCACCAAUGCAAAAAGCUGAAGUUGUCGACUUAGUUACAAGUAAUACAAAAGCUGUUACUUUAGCAAUUGGUGAUGGAGCUAAUGAUGUCGCAAUGAUACAAAAAGCUCAUAUUGGUGUUGGUAUUUCCGGCGUUGAAGGCCUACAAGCUGCGUGUGCUUCAGACUACUCAAUAGCUCAAUUUUGUUAUCUAAAACGUUUAUUAUUUGUCCAUGGAUCAUGGAAUUAUAGUCGAAUGUGUAAAUUGAUUUUAUAUUCUUUCUAUAAAAAUAUUUGUCUGUAUGUUAUUGAACUGUGGUUUGCCAUUUAUUCGGGAUGGUCCGGUCAAAUUUUAUUUGAAAGAUGGUCUAUCGGUCUUUAUAAUGUUGUAUUUACUGCGGCACCACCGCUAGCAAUGGGCCUCUUUGACAAAGUUUGUUCUGCUGAGACUCAUCUCGCGCAUCCGAGACUAUACGCUGCCAAAAAUACUAACGAAUCGACGUUUAAUAUUAAGGUCUUUUGGGUUUGGAUAAUAAACGCUUUAAUCCAUUCAUCUCUACUGUACUGGUUAUCACUUUUGGCUUUAGAACAAGAUGUCAUAUGGGCCAAUGGUCGAGAUGGUGGUUAUAUUAUUCUAGGAAAUUUUGUAUACACUUAUGUAGUAGUUACGGUCUGCGUUAAAGCAGGCCUCAUUACGAAUUCAUGGACAUGGGUAACUCAUUUAGCAACAUGGGGAUCAAUUAUUCUAUGGUUUUUAUUUAUUUUAAUAUACAGUAACUUUUGGCCAGUAUUAAAUGUUGGUGCUGUUAUGUUAGGUAACGAUAAAAUGCUUUUUACUUCGCCUGUUUUCUGGCUGGGGCUUAUUCUAAUACCUACAGCAGUUUUGCUUGUCGAUGUGACAGUAAAGGCUGUGACAAAUACAAUGUUCAAAUCUCUUACGGAAGCAGCGAGAGAGCAGGAAAUUAAAAAAUCCGAUCCAAGCGAUUUAUUCACCAAUCAAGAUUACAGAAGCUCUAAUACGUACAGGCCUGUGCAUGCAAUCGCUGAUCUCGCGAGGUCUGCACAAUAUUUUAUUAAACUAUUGUUACGAUUUUUCGAGUGUAUAAAACCAGUGAAGAUGACAUCGUUAAUUAUUUAUAUAUUAUUAUAUUUAUGCACAAAAUUGUUCAAACGUAUCACAAUGCACGGCUUCCAGAUUGACGGAGACAGCGAGGCUACUAAAAAACGUUAAAAGUGUUUUCACUCGACGUUCAAAUGCAGCUACCCGAGUCAAUGUUGAAGUGGAAUUAUCGCAUGGAUUCGCAUUUUCUCAAGAAGAAGGUGGUUCAGUAACUCAAACAGAUGUAAUAAGAGCGUAUGAUACGAACCUUCCGAAACCUGGUGGUAUGUGAUUUUACUUCAAAAUCACGAUCACGUUAUAUGUAUAUACAUAUAAAACAAUGAACGUCUAAAUACAUUAUUCUUUAAUCUAAAAUUAUAAUUUAUACAAGGAAAAAAAACUUUAAUAUUAUGAUUACUCGAGUUUAAACUUGAUCAACAAUGAUUCAAGUAAGGCAUAUUUUAAUUUUUAUAUUAUUAGUCUAAGAUUGAGUCAAAAUGAUAGAAUGCAUAAUAAAUAUAAGACAACAGUUAUGAAGAUUGAAAAAAAAAUAGAUAUAUUUUAAUUAAAAUAUCUAUUCAGUACUCAAUGAAUAAAAGUUUACGAUCUUAUGAUAAAACCAAUUUUCAAAAACUGUUGAUAAAAUUAAAAAUCAUAUAGGUUCUAGUUAUCUUGACUUAAUUAAAUUAAAUUUCGUAAAAUUAUUAAAUUAUUUUUCUAUUUAC